AUCACUCGGCUCGUGGAUCGAUGAAGACCGCAGCUAAAUGCGCGUCAG
Molecule: ribosomal RNA, 48 nt
Filed under: Anopheles sundaicus
Lineage: Eukaryota; Metazoa; Arthropoda; Insecta; Diptera; Culicidae
Also listed under: 4 other names
Description: partial 5.8S ribosomal RNA
Source: RNAcentral